GACCCGAGCGAAGCGAGAGAACGUUGCGUCAGCAACGGCCCGCAGGGCGAGCCACGCAGUGGCGAGUCAUCCUCUAUCACCGGCAG
This 86-nucleotide small RNA is filed under the name Salmonella enterica subsp. enterica serovar Albany. Its description in RNAcentral is "partial RtT sRNA". It matches the Rfam family "RtT RNA", at positions 45 to 130 of the family's 130-position model. Rfam says of the family: This family represents a bacterial cis-regulatory element known as RtT RNA. The exact function of RtT is unknown although it is thought that it may be involved in changing the cellular response in relation to amino acid starvation. Lineage: Bacteria; Pseudomonadati; Pseudomonadota; Gammaproteobacteria; Enterobacterales; Enterobacteriaceae. The record is from RNAcentral.